UACGAAGGGUGCAAGCGUUAAUCGGAAUUACUGGGCGUAAAGCGCGCGCAGGCGGCUUUGCAAGACAGAUGUGAAAUCCCCGGGCUCAACCUGGGAACUGCAUUUGUGACUGCAAGGCUAGAGUACGGCAGAGGGGGAUGGAAUUCCGCGUGUAGCAGUGAAAUGCGUAGAUAUGCGGAGGAACACCGAUGGCGAAGGCAAUCCCCUGGACCUGUACUGACGCUCAUGCACGAAAGCGUGGGGAGCAAACAGG
This 253-nucleotide ribosomal RNA is filed under the name uncultured bacterium. Its description in RNAcentral is "partial 16S ribosomal RNA". It matches the Rfam family "Bacterial small subunit ribosomal RNA", at positions 524 to 776 of the family's 1533-position model. The record is from RNAcentral.